RNAcentral lists this ribosomal RNA (370 nucleotides) under uncultured organism. Its description in RNAcentral is "partial 16S ribosomal RNA". It matches the Rfam family "Bacterial small subunit ribosomal RNA", at positions 527 to 896 of the family's 1533-position model. The record is from RNAcentral.
GUAGGUGGCAAGCGUUAUCCGGAAUUAUUGGGCGUAAAGCGCGCGUAGGCGGUUUUUAAGUCUGAUGUGAAAGCCCACGGCUCAACCGUGGAGGGUCAUUGGAAACUGGAAAACUUGAGCGCAGAAGAGGAAAGUGGAAUUCCAUGUGUAGCGGUGAAAUGCGCAGAGAUAUGGAGGAACACCAGUGGCGAAGGCGACUUUCUGGUCUGUAACUGACGCUGAUGUGCGAAAGCGUGGGGGAUCAAACAGGAUUAGAUACCCUGGUAGUCCACGCCGUAAACGAUGAGUGCUAAGUGUUAGGGGGUUUCCGCCCCUUAGUGCUGCAGCUAACGCAUUAAGCACUCCGCCUGGGAGUACGACCGCAAGGUUG